Molecule: ribosomal RNA, 300 nt
Filed under: uncultured Francisella sp.
Lineage: Bacteria; Pseudomonadati; Pseudomonadota; Gammaproteobacteria; Thiotrichales; Francisellaceae
Description: bacterial SSU rRNA
Rfam family: Bacterial small subunit ribosomal RNA
Source: RNAcentral
CGCGUAGGAAUCUACCCAUCUGUGGGGAUACCAGUUGGAAACGACUGUUAAUACCGCAUAAUAUCUGCGGAUUAAAGGUGGCCUUUGAGCUGCCGCAGAUGGAUGAGCCUGCGUUAGAUUAGCUUGUUGGUGGGGUAAAGGCCUACCAAGGCUACGAUCUAUAGCUGAUUUGAGAGGAUGAUCAGCCACAUUGGGACUGAGACACGGCCCAAACUCCUACGGGAGGCAGCAGUGGGGAAUAUUGGACAAUGGGCGAAAGCCUGAUCCAGCAAUGCCAUGUGUGUGAAGAAGGCUCUAGGG